This 19090-nucleotide long non-coding RNA is filed under the name Citrus maxima (pomelo). RNAcentral describes it as "long non-coding RNA (CMAX_LNC002883)". The record is from RNAcentral. Lineage: Eukaryota; Viridiplantae; Streptophyta; Magnoliopsida; Sapindales; Rutaceae.
CGACAAAUGUACCGUCUGGCAAGAUAUCGUCGUUUCGGCAAGCUUUCGAGUCAACCGGAACCGGCGGGUACAGCCUCAACGUCUCGGAUAGCGCUGCAUGCAAAUAAUGCAUGUCUCGCAACUCCUCGAAACUGUAGGUAGCGCCGACGCUUCUCCCAUUUCGGGCCCGAAUCGAUUCAAGCUCCUUUAAAAUAUUUUGCUCAACCUUGGGAUGGGAUGCUAAUAGCCAAAAGAACCAACUCAAAGCCGAAGAUGUAGAGUCACGUCCAGCCAGGAUAAAGCUAAUCACGACAUCUUGGAGAAAUUCGGUUGAGUUCUUCCCGUUUCCGAUAAACCGUGACAGCAAAUCGUCUUCCAUAUUCGCCGUUUUUUCUUCCAUUCUUGAACGUAUAAUGUUAUUUGCAAAUUCAUGAACUAUUGCAAUUGAAUUCUUUAGCGUUCGCUCUGACCCGAUGUUAAAGAACUUCUUGAUACUCCACAUAUGCCUGAAAGCGUAUAGGAAUCUCCCCGAACUAAGCGUUGCAGCAUCUUCAAAAGCCCGCAUAAACUCUGAACCGGCAGUUCCGUCGCCGUCGAGACAACCGGGAUCAAAGUUAAAUGCCACUUUACAAAUAUUAUCAAACCCAUAACGUUCCAAAAUAUCUUGUAAAUCCAACACCUGUCCGGUCCUGGACGCUUUUGUGAGAAUCGGAACUAACCUCGAUAGAGUCUCGAACCUAACGUUGUCCAUUACGAAAUUUCGGAGCGAUUUUGUGUUGAACUCGUAGCUAGCGGUUUUCCUCUGUACUUUCCAUAACUCGCCAUCGGAGUUAAAGAUUCCUCGGCCGAGAAAAUCUUCGAGAAGGGUAACGAAGCGUUGACCUUUUGGGUAGUUCUCGAAGUUGGUCUUGAGUAUGUGUUCGACGUUUGCAGGGUUUGCCGUGAUGACGCUGUGAAUUUCGCCGGGGCUGUAAAAGAUGGUCGUGCCCUUGGGGCAGUGUUUAAGGAUUUCGGUGCUCCAGUCAAGGAAGCGGUGGCGGUUUCUCAAGUAUCCGGGCAAGGCUCCGACCACAGGGUAAUGUUUAAAGCCGACAGCAGGUCUUUUGUAUGAAGUAAAAAAGUACAAGUAGAGGUAAAGAGAGAGGAGGGAGAUGAAAAUGAAAGAUUGAAGAGAGAGGAGCAUUUCCAUAGCUAGAAUCAAGCUACAGAGAUAAGGAUCUCUCUUAUCUCGGUGAUCAAGAUAUUUAUAGAAAAAAAAAAAUGAAAAGAGGCGAUAGGGGUUACUUUACGGUGCUGGAAUUUUUUUUUUUUGUGUAUUAAAUAAUUAGUAUUCGAAUAUCAUAUUAGGUCCCGAUUAAUCCAUAUUCGAAUCAGAUAGGACCAUUAGGGCGGCAAAGCUCUCCCAACAAGUAUUUAACGCAACUGCAUUCCCAAACCUCGAACCGAGAACCUUAGUUAAGCUAGAACAACCUCACGUCAGUUGAUCUACGCGCUAGUUGGUCGGUGCUGUAAAAUGUUAUACACACUUGUAUUGGACGAGAAUACGAAGAGAUGAGGAUAGCUGUGCAGGUCUAAAACUUUUGUGUUGUGCACUAAUUAUUGGUUGUUUGCUUCGAAGGGAAAUGAAAAUGAUAUAAAAUUUAAAAAAAUUGGUCAGCGCUUAACAUAAAAUUAACAUAGCAUCAUUGUAUUAACACACACCCAAAAAAAAAAAAUUCAAUUUUUAUCCUAAGUUUCAUUUCCAAUAUUAUGACGUGAUGUGUCAUUAAAUUAAUUGAUAACUUUUCAUAUUUUUUAAAUGGAUUAAUUAUAUCUUAUCUACUGAGUCUUAAACGGGUGGUCUUCAAAUAACUUUAUCUAACCUAAUUUUGACUUUUUUCACAUGCGUUCUUUUAAAAAAAAUAAUAGAAUCAUAAAACUACAUUUUCUCACUAUCGCAUUCCUUAAUAAAUGAUAUAUUAAUUGAGAAUAAAUUUUGAGAUAUAUAACGCUUAGUCAGGUAGGCAGAUCCCAUUUCAAAAUAAAGGAUAAGAUUUAAAAAAAAAAAUCAAAACUUAGUAUUAUUCGGGAAGCAAACGAUGAAGAGUCGUAUAUGAUGCUGCACAUACCUGGUAAGGCUGUACGCUACAACCUUAAUGGCAAGACUUUUCCUAGUUUGAUGCUAGCUGUGGGGUUAAAUUUCUGAUUUUAAAUGGCUUAAAUGUGGCUGUUGGACUUUUCUAUUGGCUUAUUAGUCAUUUGGAAUUCCUUGUGUUGAAUAAGCAAUUUUGAUGGUAUGAAUAUUGUUAACAAAUUAAAUGUGUUAUUGCAUCAUGUAAUGCUUUCUCUUUGCUUGUUGAAGAAUGAAGAUAAAAACUACUAAUGAAUACAGAGCAGCAGAGAGUGAAUAUUUGAUCUGUUCCAACUCUGUGACUAUAAGGUGCUAGAGAAGAAAGAUGACAGGUAUAAAGAGUUGGCAUAUAUGAGGAGCUAAUUAAUUUAUUAAUUGUUGACUCUUGCAAGUUUAACCAAAGUUUAGGAAAAUGAAGAACAUCGAUCCCUCCGCUCUUAGGUCAUUUGCUUCUUGGCUCUGCAGCGACAGACAUUUUUAUUUAUUGAAUUGCUCUUGAGGUUGAAAUGGAUUGUGGGCAAAGAAGAUGCUCUAAGUGCAAUCUAGUGUGCCUUUCAUUUCUAAUUCAAAUGGAAACCAAUCAUGCCAAUCGGUGAAACACUGGCAAAACUUUUGUGUUGUGCACUAAUUAUUGGCUGUUUGCUUCGAAGGGAAAUGAAAAUGAUAUAAAAUUUAAAAAAUUUGGUAAGCGCUUAACACAAAAUUAACAUAGCAUCAUUAUAUUAACACACACCCAAAAAAAAAAAAAAAAACUUCAAUUUUUAUCCUACGUUUCAUUUCCAAUAUUAUGGUGUGAUGUGUCGUUAAAUUAGUUGAUAACUUUUCAUAUCUUUUAAACGGAUUAAUUAUAUCUUAUCUAUCGAGUCUUAAACGAGUGGUCUUCAAAUAACUUCAUCUAACCUAAUUUUGACUUUUUUCACAUGCGUUCUUUUAAAAAAAAUAAUAGAAUCAUAAAACUACAUUUUCUCACCAUCACAUUCCUUAAUAAAUGAUAUAUUAAUUGAGAUAAAAUUUUGAGAUAUAUAACGCUUAGUCAAGUAGGCAGAUCACAUUUCAAAAUAGAGGAUAAGAUUUCUAUUGCUAAGGAUGCUAGAUUAUGGAUUCAAAUGUCAAAUCACUGGAAUUAAUAAGGAAAAUACUAUCUGAACAGAGGUAAGACAGAAACGACAAUACUAUAGUAUAAAUAAUACUGUCAUUUCAUAUGUAAUAGUGUUAUUGUAAUAUAAACAAUACUCAUAUUUUUAUUUUCUUUCUGUCUUAAGACCAAUUUAGAAUUACGGUGACUAAUUAAAAAAGCUACUUUUACGGCGCAGAUGAAAUAAACUGUUGAUUAAAAAAAUAAUUUAGUGUUUGACAAAUUGUAUUGUUGAAGUUGUUGUGAGUUUAAAAAGCAGUAUACAUAUAUUUGAUAAAUUUUAUUAUAAAAUAUUUUUUUUAUAUAUAUAGUAAUCAAAAUAGGCACCAGUUUAAAUUAUAUUUAUUUUUUAGAGUAUGUUUAAAAACAUAUAGGCAUGUCUUUUUCUUUUUAAAACACAUAAAAUUAAAUAAAGUGAAAAAAACUCCAUUAAAUAAAAUUUAAUAAACUUCAUACAUAAUGAUUAUGAUGACUACCUGCAAAGAACUGCCAUAACAAUUGUCAUUGCAGGUAGCAUGUUACUCAUGGCACAAGAGAAAGUCGGCGAUGUGAAAUGUUACAGAAGCUACCACUGAGAAGAUAUGAUCUUAAAUAUUUGUCACUUGUACAGCUAGACAUCAAUUAUGAUUAUUAGCUUCAAUGUCAUCAAUUAUUGCCAAAGUGUGUCCGUGUUCUCCACAGCUUCAGGAACCAUCUCUAUGUUCUCCACAGCUUCAGGAACCAUUUCUUUGUAUUUGCCCCAUAGCACGGCGUAGAGUCCAAUGACUAUCAGAACUGCCCCAAGAACACUGAAAAUUAAACCACAAGUAAAACAAAUGAGUUAGUGGCACUACUUUAUUUAUACGAUUAUUCGUUUUUAAUAAUUAAAACUAAAAAAAGAAAAAAAUAGAAAAUUGGAUUUAAUUGAAUAAUUACCCUCCAACAUAUAUCUUUUCAGCAAGAAGGAAAGAGCCCAUAAUUGCAACAAUGAUCAUCAUCAGAUGGCUGAAAGCGGUUACAAAGACAGGCCCUCUUUUUUGCAUCACCAGCCCUUGAACAUAGUAAGCAAUGCCUGAUGACACAAUACCCUGUACAUAAAAUUAAAAAUAGAAAAAGAAAACGUAAAUAUCAAUUAUAAUAUAUAUUAAGUAAAUUAUUUAUAGCAAAAAAAGAGAGUGAAGAGGAAAGGGGAGAGAGAGAGAGAGACUCACAGCAUAAGCAGCAGCAAGAAGAUUCAUGUCCCAACCAAUUGUCCAAACAGAAUCUUUGUGUUCCAUCACAAAAGUAACAGCAGCGGAUUGCAAAGUUCCAAGAAAACACACAAUGGCUGUGAGUGAGAGGUGAGCUGGGUACCUCAUUAUUGCCACUGGCUGUAGUAAAAUUAAAUAACCCAACAAAUUAAAGUUAAUUAAAUUCAUGAACGUACCUACAAAAUCACAAGUCAUAUAGUAAUUAACUAUUUUCAAGAAUCUUUAAUUAGAUAGUUAGCUACCUGAAGAAUAAAGAAUGAAGCCCAAGCAAGAGUAGCCAAGAUUAAAAGAAUUGAACCCUUAAUUAAGCCAGUCUUUGUCCGAAGAAGUAGUUGCCGCAGGGACAGGUGAGGAUGUACGACCGUGGAUGGGCUGAGACCAAACCAAAUUAAUGACAUUACCUGUAUAUAAUGUCAUCAACAUGGCUCCAGCCACUGUCACUAUAGCUCCCACAAUUUUUGCUUGGCAUCUAAUUUUCUUUAUAUCCACUUUCUCCAUCCUUCAUUUUAAGAAAAGUACCCAAAAAAAAAAAUCAAUCUUUUUGUCCAAAUUAAUAUAAAUGGCAUCAAUAUGAGAUACGGAUUAUGAUGACUUUAGAUACCUGCAAAGAACUGCCAUGACAAAUGUCAUUGCAGGUAGCAUGUUACUCAUGGCACAGGAGAAAGUCGGCGAUGUGAACUUUAAGCCGGCGUAGUAGAAGUUUUGAUCAAUCACAGACCUAUAUAAAGAUCAAAAAUGAAAAAUAAAUAAAUAAACGAAUUAAUGUAUCUUAAGCUUGAUGGCAGUCUUCAUCAUGUACUGUGGAGAUAUGCAAAGAAACUAACCCAAGAAGGCCAAGAACAAAGAGUUGCAUGAAAAUGGGAAAAGUAAUCUUUGUCCUCACUUUCCUGUACGUAAAACGAAACCAACCAACCAAAAAAAAAUUAAAAAAAAUGAAGUAAUAUAUAUAUUUGAAACUGUAAUAAAUGAAAUUUUUUAAUUUCUCAAGCAUUAUAGUGGUAUUUAUUAAAGGACCUCUCAAGAACGAGAGCGAAAGGGGCGAUGACUGCGGUAGCAAAGGCAUGACGAUACACAACAAGAACAUAGUGGCUCAUUCCUCUAUUGAGGGAAACCUUGGUGAUUGUUUGGGGAAUUAAAUAGGGUGACCAUGAUCUCUUCCAAGUAAAAGUGAGCAAAUGGUUGAGCAGACCACCUCGACCAGGUGGUAAUCUCGAUGAGCAUGAGCAGACCACCUCGACCAGGUGGUAUGAGCUUAAGCAAACCACCUCGACCAUGUGCUAUGAGCUUGAGCAGACCACCUCGACCAGGUGGUAUGAGCUUGAGCAAAUCACCUCGACCAGGUGGUAUGAGUUUGAGUAGAUGACCUAGAUGACCUCGACCAGGUGAUAACCAGGAAUCAAGGCUCAGUUAAAACAAACCACCACAAACCUCCUCCGAAAAAUCAGGAGCACAAAUUUGAUCAAUUAAUGGUUAUUGUCACGAUCUAAGGUCGUGGGGGUGGGGUGUUUAUAAAAACCCAAAGAAAAUCACGCCAAGAGGGGAAUUUUUCUUUCUGAAUUUUUAUUUUAUUCUUUUAUUACAUUUACAUGAGAAUUUUUGUUCAUGAAAAUGAGAAAUUACAUAUUUGGUUUUUCCUAUAAACAUGAUAACUGACUUGAGCAUCGGAGGGUUCAUGCCGGAAAAACUUCCGGCGCCUCUAAUCGUCUUCUGUGAUUUUAGGUAUUCGCAGGUUAAUCGCUAAUGGUCACAAGACAUCUUGACGAUUGGCCAGCCGAUUCUCCACCAAAUAAAUUUAAUGCUGUUGUGGGAGUCUGGUAUCAAGCCGCUAACCGACUCAAUCAGAUUCCGGCAUCAACAGUGAUGAUGUUCAUUCUGGCACAGCCAAAUUGCAGUGAUAUCAUAGCACUAUAAGGCUUGCACCUUUGAAGCAAAAUUGCCACAUCCUUUUUCCUCCAUUUUGGGGGGGGGGGGGGGGACAAUUAAUUUGUGUUUGAGGAAAAUUAAGUGGUAAGUGUAAGAGAUGGUCAGAAGGUCACGUAUUUAUAGGGGUGCUGGCCUCUAUCUACACAAAAGAAAAUUAGUAAUUUUUUAUUUUUCUAUUUUUUUCUGUCAUGGUACGUACGUGUGAAAUUGAAUCUCAGUCUCACACGUGAGUGGUAGCACUGCCUGGAUCUGUUUGAAUAUUCUGCUUAGUGUUAGUGUUUCACGGGUGAUGUGGUUCCACGUGGCAGUAUAUGGGAAGCAAUUAUAAUGUGAGAUGGGGUCCACUAUGCUUUGAUCUCAGUGGCAAGUGAUUUGAGAGCUCCCAAAACAAAGGUCACUUUGGUGCAUGAUGAUGCAAAUUGAGGACCGUCGCUCUCCCAUGCAUUAACAUGAUGGUGGGGCCCGCUGGGAGAAUUGGGCCCUUAUUGGUCCGGCUUCCUCGAUGCGGCGUUCCGACUGCAUUGAUCACUGCUUCAACUUUACUUAGGUGUGAGACUAUACAUGUAUGUAAGCAUAUGCAUUUAUAGAAUGAGACAUGCACAAAGCAUAUUUUAAUGAUUCCAUAAUUAUAAGUUGCUUGUGAUUAAUUGUAUUAUUUUUCCCUUUUUUUUUAAGCGGAUAUUAUUUUUCACUAUUAGAACGCUUAUUCUAGUACUAAUUACAUGCUUUUAUCAGUUUACUACAUUAAUCACAUACAUAUUCGUGAUUGUUACGAAACGCGGAAUAAUUUGAUUAAAAAGACUAUGAUUCAUAUAAAAUAUAUAUUUUUUAUAAUUUAUUUUUUUUUUCAAAAAAGGUUGUUUGUGGGACUAUGGUCACUUUAUAAAAGUUGGAAGCUUCCGUUAUUAAUUUGAAAUGCGGAAAAUGGAGUAUUCUAUUUUUACUUUUAUGGUGUGUUUACUUAGUAAAAUGUAAAUUAAGAAUAAGAAUAAAAUGUGUGAGUCCCACAUAAUAUGGGAAUAAAUAAUGAGAAUCUCAUUCUCAUGGGGGGUUGGGAAUGGAAAUGAAACUCAUGUUUACUUUUGUAUCCCUCUAAUUUUUUUAUAUUUCCCAAAUUACUCUCGUUCAAAUCACAAUUAAUUUUAUUAUUUUAAAUAUCAUUAUUAUUAUUAUUAUUAAAUUUUAUUAACUUUAUUAUUUUAGUUAUUAUUAUUAAUUAUUAUUAUUAUUAUUAAUUUUAUUUUUUUAAUUAAUAUCAUUUUUAUAAUAAUAUUUAUGCAUGCAUUUAGUUAAUGAAAAUUACAUAAUUUAAUACCAUGGGUAUUUUGGUAAAUUGAUUCUCAUUCUCAUUCCUCAUUUCCAUUUAUUUUUCCAAGUAAACACAUCAAUGACAUUCCAGCACACUCCCAUUCCCAUUUAUUUUUGCCAAGUAAACAUUGGAAUCUCAUUCCCAUUCCACUCCAUUCUCAUUCCAUGAAGUAAAUGUACCAUUAGUUAUCAUUGAUACAUUUAUGUGGAGGAGUAGUACAGUUUUCAUGCAUUAAUAAUUAAUUUAUGAAAAGAAUGCGCAUCUGAGUGUUUAUAAAUUAUUUUUGAGUGCUCACAAAUAUGCACGAGUCAAGGAUUUGAAUUUUUUUUUUUUUUGGAUUUAUUGCUGAAGAGCUUAUGUCAAGAAUCGGUAAGUAAUCUAUAUUUUUAAUGAAUAUUAUUUCAUAUAGUAGCUAGUAGCAAUAUUCUUGGAAUUUAAUCACAAUAUCAUUUUUUUCCCCUUUUUGUGAUUGAGCCUAAACGUAUAUAUAUAGAUAGGACAUAUAAUUCCUUAUGGGAUAAGUUAGAUAUGGCCUAAGUAAAACACUUUGUAAUAGAGAAGAUGCCUCUGUUAACAUGUAUAUGUUCAUUAUAUUGAUUUUGAUGAUAACAAAUUUUAAAUAUUUUUGAUUAAAAUGUUGGAGUUUUUCAUUAAUAAAUAAUUUCUCAAAAGCCAUAUAAUCUUUCUAAAUGUGUUCAUGAAAGAUGGAUAAUCGUUAAAUUUUAAUCGAAAAAUAAUUCCUUGCGAAAUUUGGUUAAAACUGUGAUUCUAGAAGUAAAUGGUGAACUGUUAUCCUUAAAACAGUUAAUCGAUAAUUUCCAGAGAGGGAUAAACGCUUAAACUUGAAUCGGUGCUACAAGAGAGUGCGAAGAAAUCACGGAACUUCUCCACACACACAAGUUACACUUAUGCAUGCUUUUACUUUUGCCCUUUUUUUGAGAAAUUUAUAAAAAUAGCCAUAAUAUUUUUACAUUUUUCAAAUUUAACCCCUCAAACUUUUUUUAUCAUAACUAGCCAAAUAAUGAACUUUUGGACCAAAUUGCCCUCGCACUUUCAUCAAAUUUUUAAAUGAUACCACUCUUACAAUACUCAACACUCAACACUCAACAAACCUUAACACACUCAACAAACUUUAACACUCUCAACAAAUCUCAACACUCUCAAUAAAUCUUAAUAUUCUCAACGUUUUCAGGAUAACAAAAGUAUAAAAUCAUUAAUUGGAGAGCAUUCUAAAGGUUAUUCUAUGUUCUUACACAUAGAUUCUUAAUGUAUUAAGUCUAUGGUUUAAGUUCAAAAUUGAUGUAGAUUUUGUUGUAAAUGUUGUUAUUUUUAAUUGAUAAAGUAAUGUAAUUUUGUUAAAGUAGUUAGAUUUGAGUUGAGAAAUCAAAAAAAUCAUUGAAAACAAUAGAAGUUUGAGUUAGAAACGAAACCCAGGUUAUGUGCGACAGGCUGAGCGACAGGUGCCUGUCGCACAUAAAUACCACUGUAUUUUUAUGCGACAGCCACCUGUCGCACAUAAUUUAGCAUGUCGCACAAAAUUACAGUAUGUGCGACGAUACUUUUUGGAGGUCAUAACUUAAGUUACAUGUGUCCGUUUUUUGCGUAUAAUAUACCGUUUCGAAGCUUACGACGAGACGAAUCAAACCCAUAAUUUUUUCGCUGGUCUCCCCCAUGAUCAAACCAAAAAUUUGCGCCAAUUUAAAUGCGACAGACACCUAUUGUACAUAAAGUUGUUUGUCGCACAUAUUCUCCAUCUGUACGACAUCUAUGUAAAACGUGUCGUAUAUUUACUUUAUCAUGUUUUGUAGUAUGUAUGUGCAACACAUUUUAUAUGGAUGUCAUACAAACAGAGAAUAUGCGUGACAUGCAACUUUUUGUGCCAUAGGUGCUCGUUGCACUUAAAUUGACGCAAAUUUUUGGUUUGAUCAUGGGGGAGACCAGGGAAAAAGUUAUGGGUUUGAUUUAUCUCAUCGUAAGCUUUGAAACAGUAUAUUAUACACAAAAAAAAGGACACAUGCAGCUUAAGUUAUGACUUCCAAAAAGUCAUGUCGCACAUACUGUAAUUUUGUGCGACAGGCAAAAUACUGUGGUAUUUAUAUGCGACAGGCACCUAUCGCCCAACCUAUCACACAUAAUUCAACUUGUCGCACAUAACCUGAGUUUCGUUUCUAACUCGAAUUUCUACUGUUUUCAAUUUUUUUGUUUUUGUUUCUCAACUCAAAUCUAACUACUUUAACAAAUUACAGUACUUUAUAAAUGAAAAAUAAUAACAUUUACAACAAAAUGUACAUCAAUUUUGAACUAAAACCAUAGACUUAAUACAUUAAAAAUUCAUAUUUAUGUAAAAACAUAGAAUAACCUUUAGAAUACUCUCCAAUUGAUGAUUUUAUACUUUUGUCAUGCUAAGAGUGUUGAGAAUGUUGAGAUUUAUUGAGAGUGUUGAGAGUGUUGAGGUUUGUUGAGGGUGUUGAGAGUGUUAAAGUUUGUUAAGAGUGUUGAGUAUUCUAAGAGUGACAUUAUUUGAAAAUUUGAUGAAAGUGGUGAGGGCAAUUUGGUCCAAAAAUUUAGCAUUUGGUUAGUUAUGAUAGAAAAAAGUUUGAGGGGUUAAAUUUGAAAAAUGUAAAAAUAUUAUGGCUAUUUUUAUAAAUUUCUCUUUUUUUAUAUAAUUAAAACAGUGUUACAAGUCCCAAAAAGUUAGCUAAUUGAUAUAGUGCCUGUAAAGAACGAGUGCUGCUAAAUGGCUAGAAGAAUGAGAGAAAACUGAGACAAACUACAAUCUAAACUGCUGUUUUGCUUCCUCUCUCUCUUCUGUCAGCUUUUUUUUCUCUCUCUCUUCUCUUAGCACAUGCUUCAUUCUCUCAACUUUCUCUCAUUUUUCUUGAUAUUUAGCAUUUUCCAUAAAGAACAGAUUUUAAGAUGAUUAUAGCUUUAUCAAUAACUUUUUUGGAGCUGUUGGUCUGUCAUAUUGUAUUAUUUGAUGGCCACAUUUGUUUUCUCCUUAUUUAUAUGAUUGUUUCGUGAAUGGAAUUUAUUUUAUUUUAUCAUAAAGUCGAAAGAAAAGGGAAAUUAUACGUAAGUUAGACCAAAAUAGUGUAGAUUCAUUAUUUUCUUCAAUUAACAAUAGUUGAUCACUUACAUUUUGGUCAUGAAUUCAAAUGCUAAAAGCCGAAAGACUAUGGGAUACGUGACAAGGAUAACUCGUGUCAAUAAUAUAUCAAUUGGCUAUGAUCAGUUUAGCUGGAAUUGAAUUCAUUAAUCACUUCUCUUUUUUUUGUGUUAAUUAACUGUUGGUUGUAGAUGAGAAUCCAUCCUUUCGUUUUAAUUUAAAGGGCAUGAAAUAUAUAAGCUUACAAGAAAAUGAAGAACAAGAAGACUUUAAUAACUUAGUGAAGCUUUUAUAAGCUUACAUGAUCCGAUGAAAAAUAAGCACCAUAAACCAAUUUUUUUUUUUUUAAAUCAACAUUUAAGGAUCACAAAUGCUUUUAAACAAAUGAUCCCAAUCCUAUAUCGUAUCGAUUGAAAUAAAAAAAGUUUUUUAAAAAUUAUAAUGGGAUAUUGAUAUUAAUUUAUUUACCGAGGAAGAGCCAUAAUCACCUUACAAAAUAAGUCACACGUUUAACGACAUGAAGUUUAAACAUUAUUAAAAGUCACACAUUUAACCGAGGUUCAUUCAAAAGAGAAAAAAAAAAUCUGUAAUUAAAAUAUAUACUAUUCCAGUUUAAUUAGGAAGGCUACAAAUACAAGAUUGUAUGCAAGGUUCUUUCUAAACAUGGUGCUGAGUGUCUGACAUUCAAUCACGAAUUAAUCAUUCAAAAAAAAAAAUCUCGUCAACCUCUCACCAACGAAUUAGACCAAACAAUUAGUCCUUUUUUUCUUUUUUUGAGGAAACAAAUAGUCAAUUACAAGAGAAAAAAUAUUUUUUUUUAAUAAUAAAUUUUCUGUUUAAGAUUUUUUUUUUUCAUCACAUUCAACUUUCUUUCACCAAAUAAUUAAUAUACAAAAGACUUUUGUUCGAGAUUCAGUCUUUACUUCUUGAAUUACACAGCUCAUUUCAGUUCAAGAUCAAUGGAACCGAUCUUAAGUUUUAAUAAGUAAUAAUAAAUUAAUCCUUUAUUAUUUUUACAAUAUUAACUAAAAAGAUAAUGAUGAUGAAAAGGCCUUUCUUUUUUUUUAAUGUUCUGGAGAAUCACGUUACUUUACUUUGUUUACCAAAUUGCCAAUGCUUUGUCGUUUCAUUAUCACCGCUAACGACUACCACUUAAAAGAUGAAAAAGAUUUUUCAAUUUGCUGCAUUUUUUAUUUUGUCAAGUCAUUCACAGACAAGACACAGCGUUUGAGUUAAUCAAUUUGGAUUGUGUGUUGGUCAGAUUUAUCUUCUUAACAUUAUCUCAAUUUAUAUCUUCAGUUACCUCAAACGUAGCUCGACUGUCCUCGAAUACUAACGAAACGGAAACGUAGUCGGAUUUGCUAAUAGAAGAAGCUGAUUUUUGUAUAAUGAUAAGUUUUAUUGAAAGCCUGAAUGAAUAAUACUAAGGUUUUGAGCUCUUUUUACAACAAGUCUAAUUAUCGUGAAUUUACUAAAAUAAGCAAACUAAAAAAUAAUAUCAUAUUUAAAUUCUCCUAAUCAAAAUAACAAAAGAAAAACAAACAGCACUCAAAUUUGAAUUCUAGAAAAAAAAAUCUUAGAAGAAUUAGGAAAAAUCUUAAAAAUAGAAAACGACCAGGAAAAAAAUAGAGUUUUUAGCUCGACCACCGGGCAGAAUAGCUUAGGUUUUGUUCGUUUUAUCGUAAGUUUCAAAACGGUAUAUUAUAUGCUAAAAACGGAUAUUUGUAUCUCAAGUUAUGGCCUCUGGAAAGUAUACUGCUCGCAACACACAAUACGUAUUUUAUGACCAUGGAAUUUAAGUUUACAUAAUAAUAAUAAUAAAGAAGAAAAAUUAAUAUUUAAUUAAUAAGAUAUAUAUAUACACACACACAUAACACAACAUGCAUAAAAUAUGCCCUCAUUUGCUCAAAAGAUGAUCGUUUGAUUCACUGAGCAAUUAAUGUCCUUGUUGGGGCUCAAAAUGAUGAAUAAAUUAAACCAUAACAGUGACAAUUUAUCAUGAAAUUGAUUCACCCAUUGACAAAAUGUUGAUGAGCGCGAUAUCUUUUAUCUACUUUACUUUUAGGUUUAGCUUUCAAACAAAUUGUCAACUAUAGAUGCUGUGGAGAAGUAAUUGAAUGGUAAUAAUUUAGAGUCUUUAUAUAUUUAAAAUUUAAUCUUCCUCCAUUCCGCAGUUAUUCCAAGUGAGAAGACAAAGAAAAGCAUAUGAUGAUAAUAAAAGCAAGAUAAGUUGUGCACUUCUAGUUCAUAUCAGAAUUAUAAAGUAAAUUUAAUUAGACAUUUGUUACAAUUAAGAUUGAGAAAACUUAAUUCUUUAACCCAAGAAAUCACCACACACUGAUCUUAUUACGGCAAAAAUGGAAGAUCAAUAUAGAAAUCAGAAAAUAGAAUAAGGGUAUUUAACCAGAGAUAGAGAUUUAGAAGAAUGAAAGGAAAACGAACACAAAAGGGGUUAUAGAGGUUCGGCUUGACAGCCUACAUCCUCUUGAGAAACAAAAGCCAUGCCUUUUCUUUUAUGCUUAACAUAUUACAAGUCUUAGAGGAAUUGAUACAAGGAACGAUAUAUAGCGCUCAGUAUGGCCUUGAAGGCUUUAUAUACAACUCGAAGGAGAUCCAGAUGGGUGUGUUGCACGCCAGCUCUUAUUCUGGGUUUGUUGAAACAAACCCAGAAAAUUCCCGCCAAGUCUAACCGUCCGUAACAGCUCUUCAGCUUGAAACGGCAUCAGCAGCUGCCGUUUAACUAAACCUUGAUCCUGUUGAUGCUCGUGCAAGUCACGUGCAUCACUUAAGCUUUUCGUAUGAUAAAGACUUGUUGUCAUAUGGCAGUGUUAUCUGUUUGAUUGCCUUGUCGUUUCUUAUUGGAUUCCCGAAAUGACAAAGUCGUCUCCUUCGGAAAUUCCUUAUUCAGGUUCACAAUUAACAACAUUUGUAUCGAGUCGAACCACCAAAAAUUACAAAGUGUAGGUGUUGCAUGCGCCUUUCAUAGACCAAUAACUUCAAUUCCUUCUGAAAAAGAAGCAAGCAAAUGUCUAAGAAAGCGGAAUCCACACAACAGUAUAUUCACAUACAUUGUUCAAGAUUUUAGUGGUUAUUGCCCAUUAAUUAUUAUAAGAAAGAAAAAAGAAAGAAAGAAAGAAGUUGUAUGGUACAUGUAUUGCACAUAAAAAAGAUCUUUAGAUAAUAUUGGAAAAGGUGGCAGUGUUGUUAAGGCAUUGUUUUAGGAUUUCGGUGCUCCAAUCGACGAAUCGGUGACGGUUUCUCAAGAAUCCGGGCAAAGCUCCAACGAAAGGGUAAUGUCUAAAGCCGACAGAAGGCCUUUUGUUCGAAGUCAUGAAAAAGAACAAGCAGAGAUAAAGAGAGAGGAGGGAGAAGAAGACGAAAGAUUGACCAACAGAGAAGAGCAUUUCCAUAGCUAGAUUCAAGCUACUGAGAUAUUUGUUUUUCUCUAUAUUUCGUCGUGUAUGCAUAUAUAGACAGACGAGAAAUUCUGGAAUACACACAUAGUAGCAGAAAAAAAUUGACAAAAUAAAUAAAAUAACGACAUGUCUACAUUAAGAUAAAAUUAUGUCAGUCUACUUUAUCUUGUAGUUGGAAUAUUUUUUGUUUUAAUUUUUUUUUCAAAUUUGGUGUUCAUAUAUCAUUUUUAUUAAUUAAACAGUUGUAAACUAUAAUAAAAUUUUCUUUAUUAAAUUACGUCAGAUUAAUUUGACUAUUAAUUUGUUUCCCAAAAAAAAUUGUUGAAUUUUUUCCCUUUAUUUAUUUUCUCUAUCCAAAUUUAGAUUUGGGGGUGAUUCUUAGGAAAUUUAAAUUGCUAAUGUGGUUUUCUUUCUGGAUAUGAAGUUUUUAAAUUUAAUAGUAGAAAUGACAACUAGUGAAAUGACUUUUUGUAAAAGAUGUAUAGUUGUGUCAUCAUAAGAAGAAAUUCUUGAAUAUAUUAUAAGUACUACACCCAAUUAAUAUAUGUAUGACAUGUGUAGUUCAAAUGUCCAAUUGUAUAUAACUACCAAUUACAUGGUGAUUAUGCACACAUAGUAGAGCUCGAAGAUACAUGUAUAAUUAAUUAGGUAUAGUAUCUCUCAUAUGCUCUAGAAUCUCUCUAUCAUAAGAGCUAAAUCAGGCGGUAGCUAAUUUGAAAGAGAAUCAUAGUAGAGUUCGAGGAUAAACGAGUAUGAUUUGUGUAGGUUUUGUGUAGUAACUUUUGAAGAGUCCUAUAAGAGCACUGGUUUCUCCUUAUUGAACUUUAUCAUUGUGUUUUAAUUGCUUAUAACAAACUAAUUUUAUAGGUAGCAGGGACAGAGCCCCACAAAGACGAGAAUUUCAUUUUCAUCUAGUUUUUCCAUCAUGAUUUUUCAUGAAACUAACGAUCGUUUCUAAGGGUGACCUUCUAUUGCAUAUAACACAAAGGGAUAUUUCACUUUUGCUUACAAACCCCCACAAACCCCCCCCCCCCCACCAUUUUUUUCCUUUGAUUUCUCCACUAUCUCAGUUGGGGUUUCGAGAACUUUCACGCUAAGCUUGUAGUGAAAUGUGCUUUAUAUUAGUUUUCUUUUCUUUUACUAAUUCUUAUUUCGUAGGCUUCUAACGAACACGCUAUCAGUUGUGUAUAGAAAGUGCCGUUAUAUUUUUUAGUUCUUCAAUGACAGUAAUCACUCGAACAAACUUCUCAAUGAUGCUAAUUAAUAUCUUCUCUAAUCCAUUAUCAUGGAACUCUUAUAUCCCAUGUAUUUUUCAUGCCGAUAGCUCCAUUGAUUCACGAAAUAAAUCUUCAUCAGACAAUAGAUAUUGCUUGUUGAAGGAUGAAUGCUUUUGUUCAUAGCUUUAUGUUGAUUAUCACUCAAUUUUGUUAGAGAAAACGACUUCUGGAGUGUUAAUAUCGAGUUCGACUAUCCCUUAAUUACAAAUAUAUUUUGAGAUUGGAAUAAGGACGUUGUUAUUUUCUUAACUGAAAAUGUUAUGAUUACAAAAGAUGAAUACUAGCACUUGGUUUACACUUGCCUAAAAAAAGAAUGAAGGCAGAAGCCAAAUGCUUUUGCAUAGAGUUGCUACUUUGGCUAGAGAUUAAAACUCCACUGGCCUUUGAUUUUGGUUGAUGCCGCCACAAAAAAUUGUAGAAUUAAAGAUAUUCUUGAUUCUACAAAGCCUAAAUGAUGACAUUAUAUUUGAAUGGAUGAUUGUAAUUAAAUUAAAGCCAAAAAACAAAGUUUUGAAUGGAGUAAUGUUCUCCUCUUUCCUUAGUUUGAUUGUAUUUUUCAUAUAAAAAUACUGAUCAUUCAAAUAAGAAAGGAUUUAAGUCGACUAGGUGAUCCACAAUUGAUGAAGAGAAACGGAAUUAAAUUAAGAAAAAGACGCUCAAGAGAACUGCACAUUUUCUCUCAGCAUAACAUUUUUAUGCUGAAAUGAGGCCUUUAAUAGUCAUGUUAUGUUAGAAAUUUAGAACCAAUUGUUGACAGUGGGAAUCUGAAAAAAAGGAAUGAGAUAUUGGGAGAGGAAAUUAACGUUUGCCUGAAAAAUCUUGGUUGCUCUCAGUAUAUAUUUAUCCAAUUGAUGAGAAUUUUUUCAUGUGUUUUUAAACUUAUAUAUUGGCUAAGAAGCAUUGUGCGUUAAGAAUCUGCGAAUGAGAGAGUGUACACUAGAUGACUAGAAGUAAAGUUAUCAACUUACUAUUAUUUUGUCUAGUCACAUAAUUUAAUACAUUUGUAAUAGUUUUAUAUCUAUUUAUAUAGAUUUAUACAAGGUAAUCAGUAUUAUGAUAAAACCUCUUCUUUUCGUGUUGCGUCCCUAUAAUUGGCCUGUGGCGAUAGAUAUAUAGAAUAGAUUUAUAUUUGUAAUGCUUGAGUGAGUUUCUCUAAGACGGGAUCCUGCACUUUAAUUUAUUAAAGUUCGAGAUGAACUUUUACAAUAUUAUAAACAAGUUUUAUAAUGUUGCAACCUGAUUAUUUCUAUCUAAUACAUUAAGCAGCCAAGAGGCCGUAGCAUCAAACAAGAAAAUCUGAAUGAGGUUUCGAAUUGGCUAUGAGUUUUUUAUUAAGUCUGCUCCACUCAACGAUGAAUUCAUUAAUGGGGUUGCUACUCGGGACAUGGUAAUUGAUCCAAACAGUAGCUUAACGGUUCGGUUUUUGAUCCCACAAAGGAAUGGUAUUCUUCCAGGAAAAUAUAAGCUGUCCCUUCUCCUUUAGUUCCAUUUUGGCUGCUUUUGCAUUCUCCUUCAUUUCCACUUUGGCUGCUUUUGCAUAGGCCGUCCUGAUUCUGUCCAAUUUAAUUUCUGUUCGGUUUCACAAGUUAUGUGUGUGCUGAGGCUUAACUAUUGUAGAAAUCCUUAGUGUAGUGACUACAUGUACUUUCGGUAUCUACCAGGUGAUAACUGGUAACAUUUUGGUCUUUUCGAGUGAUCACGUCACUCAAAAAGGGGUGAUCACAAAUUUGCACUAGCAACUUGAAACUUCUGAAUGUCUCAUAGUUUUAUGUCAAUAUUACAUGUAAAUCAUUGUCUCAGGGGCUAAAAGUCAAGUUCCUGCGAGUUUGAUAAUGACGAAAGUAGAAAAACACCUUCUUAAUUACCCACUAACUUGUCAAUAGUCACAAAAGCUUCAGGUCAAAAAAAGAAGUUUAUGGAUUCUAGACAUUGAAUGGUUAAUACUUAAUCGGUGAGAUUCAAUUUUGUGUGGUUGUGAAAGGCCGUUUUAAAAUUAAUUAUUCAUUGAAAAGUAAUAAUGAGAUUGCUCAUUGAUAAUUAGUUAAAUGAACGCUUAGCAAUCAGAACUAAAUAAUUUGACCGGAGGAAAAUCCAGCUAAUGUAAAUCUACUUCUUUUAAGUGUUUAAUCAAAGUUUUUGUGCAUAAAAAAAAAAAAAAAAAAUUGAAUGAUUCAAAACUGUAAAAUCCAAAUGAUAAAUUAGUCCAUAGCCCGACGGACCCAAAUUUAAAAAAUAAAUUAAAAUCAAAAAGUCCAAAAUCAAUUAUUUGACUAGGAACUUCACCUAACGCGCGUUAAGUGUGGUGGCGAGCUUUGAUUGGAAGAAUCAUGUAGUAGGAUUCAAUGCUCCAAUGAAAUUCGACACGAGUGCCGUCGCACCGUAACAUACACAACCGGUGCGCACUAGAUUAGUUCCUUAUCAAAAUAUUCAAAUAACGAAGAUCAUUAAUUACUAUAGUUCCAUUUGGAGGCAUUGAUUAGAAAAUUAAUUUAAAAUAAUAAGAACGAAACAAAAAUGCGAGUGCGCCUUACAUAUGGACAAUUUUGUAUCCCAAUGGCGAAAUUAUGAUGUGAGUGAUGAUAGAAGUAUAAAACUCUUAUACUAAAUCAAUUUGUACAAAUUGAUAUUACUUUAAAUUCAUCGAAUAGAAAAAAAAAAGAGUAAAAUAAUAAAAAUUAAAUCACGUAAACUAAGAAUUAUUUAAUUCCAAAUAAUUAAUUAUGUAGUCUGAUUUAAUAGGAGUACGGGGCAUAUAUCUAGUGCAUUUCAGCAUUUACAUAGAGCAAUACAGUACAGGUACAUGUACCGCAAUUAAGCUGCGACGUCUGCAAAACGUACAUACGACAAUUGCACUUUACACGUCAAACAAUUGUAUGCUUCUUCUUGGACAAUACCAAUACCAAUACCAACAAAAACAGAAGACAUAUCAUUAAUAAUUGAAUUUUAACAUCUGGAAACUCGUGAAGGCGAAUCUCAAUCCACGGCACCCGGACAUCUUUCCCUCACUGUUACGUGCAAUCCAUCUUUAAUUCUGAGAGUCAAAGAUAAUACCUUCUCCGGACAAGUGUCCUUAUGUUGUACGUCAACCGCAAACCUCUCAAUCACAGACGCUGCUAUUGAUUUCAUCUGAAUGUAAGCCAUAUCUUUCCCAAGACACAUCCUCGGCCCGGCGUGAAAAACCGGAAACCGAAACACAUUUUCCGACCGAUAAAUUCCGUCCUCCAGCCACCUUUCCGGCAAAUAUUCAUUGCAAUUCUCUCCCCAUAUGCUCUCCAUCCGCCCCAUUGCAUAUGCAUGAUAAGUAACAAACCAAUCCUUUCCGACAAAUGUACCGUCUGGCAAGAUAUCGUCCUUUCGGCAAGCUUUCGAGUCAACCGGAACCGGCGGGUACAGCCUCAACGUCUCGGAUAGCGCUGCAUGCAAAUAAUGCAUGUCUCGCAACUCCUCGAAACUGUAGGUAGCGCCGACGCUUCUCCCAUUUCGGGCCCGAAUCGAUUCAAGCUCCUUUAAAAUAUUUUGCUCAACCUUGGGAUGGGAUGCUAAUAGCCAAAAGAACCAACUCAAAGCCGAAGAAGUAGUGUCACGUCCAGCCAGGAUAAAGCUAAU